Molecule: ribosomal RNA, 401 nt
Filed under: uncultured bacterium
Lineage: Bacteria
Description: bacterial SSU rRNA
Rfam family: Bacterial small subunit ribosomal RNA
Source: RNAcentral
CAAGGCUUGACAUGCGCGGUGGAAUCCCAGAGAUGGGGUGUCAUUUAGUUGGUCGCGUACAGGUGGUGCAUGGUUGUCGUCAGCUCGUGUCGUGAGAUGUUGGGUUAAGUCCCGCAACGAGCGCAACCCUCGUUCCAUGUUGCCAGCACGUUAUGGUGGGGACUCAUGGGAGACUGCCGGGGUCAACUCGGAGGAAGGUGGGGAUGACGUCAAAUCAUCAUGCCCCUUAUGUCUUGGGCUUCACGCAUGCUACAAUGGCCAGUACAGAGGGCUGCGAUACCGCGAGGUGGAGCGAAUCCCAAAAAGCUGGUCUCAGUUCGGAUCGGGGUCUGCAACUCGACCCCGUGAAGUCGGAGUCGCUAGUAAUCGCAGAUCAGCAACGCUGCGGUGAAUACGUUCCC